CACCGCACUGGGGAGUACGACCGCAAGGUUAAAACUCAAAUGAAUUGACGGGGACCCGCACAAGUAGUGGAGCAUGUGGUUUAAUUCGAAGAUACGCGCAGAACCUUACCAACACUUGACAUGUUCGUCGCGACUCUAAGAGAUUAGAGUUUUCGGUUCGGCCGGACGAAACACAGGUGCUGCAUGGCUGUCGUCAGCUCGUGUCGUGAGAUGUUGGGUUAAGUCCCGCAACGAGCGCAACCCUCACUUUUAGUUGCCAUCAUUUAGUUGGGCACUCUGGAAGAACUGCCAGUGAUAAGCUGGAGGAAGGUGGGGAUGACGUCAAGUCCUCAUGGCCCUUACGUGUUGGGCUACACACGUGCUACAAUGGCAUUUACAAUAGGAAGCAAGAUGGCGACAUCAAGCAAAUCCUAAAAAGAUGCCUCAGUUCGGAUUGUACUCUGCAACUCGAGUACAUGAAGCUGGAAUUACUAGUAAUCGCGGAUCAGCGCGCCGCGGUGAAUACGUUCCCGGGUCUUGUACACACCGCCCGUCACACCAUGGGAGUUGGUUCUACCUUAAGGCAAAGCUUAAAAACUUUGACCACGGUAUAGUCAGCGACUGGGGUGAAGUCGUAACAAGGUAGCCGUAGGGGAACCUGCGGCUGGAUUACCUCCUUUCUAAGGAUGAUUAAGAAAAAUUUCUUAAUCUAAAUAUUUAACAGGUUAAUGUUGACCGUCCUCAUUUCUCUUUUCAACGUGUCUCGAUAAGUUAUCUAUAAAUUUGGGCCGGUAGCUCAGUUGGUUAGAGCACACCCUUGAUAAGGGUGGGGUCGAAAGUUCGAGUCUUUCUCGGCCCACCAUUAUUAUAUAAUUGGGGGAUUAGCUCAGCUGGGAGAGCGCCUGAUUUGCAUUCAGGAGGUCAGCGGUUCGAUCCCGCUAUCCUCCACCACGAGACACCUAGCUAUUAAAAUUGUAAAUAAAAUAAUUAAUAUCAAUAUCUAUAUCCGAUUGUUCGAAAUGAUGAACAAUCAAUGAAUGUUCGAAGAGAUGAACAUUCCAACAAAAUUUGAUUCAACACAGAAUUUUUUUCUG
Molecule: small RNA, 1073 nt
Filed under: uncultured Pelagibacterales bacterium
Lineage: Bacteria; Pseudomonadati; Pseudomonadota; Alphaproteobacteria; Candidatus Pelagibacterales
Description: bacterial SSU rRNA
Rfam family: Bacterial small subunit ribosomal RNA (bases 1-659)
Source: RNAcentral